UCGUUGUCAACUUCCGACGACCAGCUCGUCUCCGCCAAACCAGUCCAGCCGAACUACCAAAUGACCACCUUCAACCCCUCCACAACCAGCUCGUCCAUCGACCCCAUCUCCCUCACGUCGAACCAGCAGCAGCUCGACGCCAUAGCUGCUAAACCAUCCCAUCGCGAACCAACCAGCCCUCUCCACACGACCGCCGGACAGCCCCCACCAGUAGCUAGCGUCGUCCAGCCCUUCCCCCACAAACAGCCAGCAACGCCAGUGUGACGACCCGACCCGUUGUUUCUUGUAUCCGUCCCGUUUUCCCAUUUUAUGCUUCUUCAUGUGUUGUUAUAUGUGUUUGGUGAGUUUGAAGUGUUUCGGAUCGAAUUUGGAUAGAAAUGAGACAAAUAGUCUCUUUAAGGAAAG
RNAcentral lists this long non-coding RNA (405 nucleotides) under Nicotiana benthamiana. RNAcentral describes it as "long non-coding RNA (NBEN_LNC005464)". The record is from RNAcentral. Lineage: Eukaryota; Viridiplantae; Streptophyta; Magnoliopsida; Solanales; Solanaceae.